Oncorhynchus keta (chum salmon) is the source of this 1432-nucleotide long non-coding RNA. RefSeq lists it as uncharacterized. The transcript has 3 exons. The record is from RefSeq and is a predicted model, not a curated record. NCBI's taxonomy places the organism in Eukaryota, Metazoa, Chordata, Actinopteri, Salmoniformes, Salmonidae.
UGAACUCGGGAUGGCCGGGCAGUGAUAGUUGUUCCUUUCCAUCACUCGUUGUGUUGACUUCAUCAUGUCCAUUUUGUGAUGUUUUUUCACUAUAUAAUCAUAUUGCAAGUGCACGUGCAUUUGCAAUAUGUUUCAAUGUGCAUUUACCAUAUGAAAUUUGACAUGCUCAAAAAUGCAAAAUUGACUGGUCUGAUGGACACAGGAUGGCCGAGCAGUGAUAGUUGUACAUUUCCAUCACUCGUUGUGUUGAUUUCAUCAUGUCCAUUAGGUGAUGUUUUUUCACUAUAGAAUCAUAUUGCAAAUGCACGUGCAUUGUUGUGCAACUGGUAACCCAAAAAUAAAAAUAUGGUUGUAAAUGCAUUUACCGGUCAUUCUGAUAUUAAUGCUCGCUAUGGGAACACAGGAUGGCCGGGCAGUGAUAGUUGUACAUUUCCAUCACUCGUUGUGUUGAUUUCAUCAUGUCCAUUAGGUGAUGUUUUUACACUAUAGAAUCAUAUUGCAAGUGCGCGCGCAUUUGCAAUAUGUUUCAAUGUGCAUUUACCAUAUGAAAUUUGACAUGCUCAAAAAUGCAAAAUUGACUGGUCUGAUGGACACAGGAUGGCCGAGCAGUGAUAGUUGUACAUUUCCAUCACUCGUUGUGUUGAUUUCAUCAUGUCCAUUAGGUGAUGUUUUUUCACUAUAGAAUCAUAUUGCAAGUGCACGCGCAUUUGCAAUAUGUUUCAAUGUGCAUUUACCAUAUGAAAUUUGACAUGCUCAAAAAUGCAAAAUUGACUGGUCUGAUGAACACAGGAUGGCUGAGCAGUGACAGUUGUACAUUUCCAUCACCUGUUGUGUUGAUUUCAUCAUGUCCAUUUGUUUAUGUUUUCUCACUUUUGCAAAGUCACUGUGCAUUUGCAAUAUGGUUCAAUGGGCAGGUACCAUCACGAAUUUGUCAUGCUAUAAAAAUCCUGCAGGAAUGUGAAAUUGACUGGUCUGAUGAACACAGGAUGGCCGAGCAGUGAUAGUUGUACAUUUCCAUCACUUGUUGUGUUGAUUUCAUCAUGUCCAUUAGGUGAUGUUUUUACACUAUAGAAUCAUAUUGCAAGUGCGCGCGCAUUUGCAAUAUGUUUCAAUGUGCAUUUACCAUAUGAAAUUUGAAAUGCUCAAAAAUGCAAAAUUGACUGGUCUGAUGGACACAGGAUGGCCGAGCAGUGAUAGUUGUACAUUUCCAUCACUCGUUGUGUUGAUUUCAUCAUGUCCAUUAGGUGAUGUUUUUUCACUAUAGAAUCAUAUUGCAAGUGCGCGCGCAUUUGCAAUAUGUUUCAAUGUGCAUUUACCAUAUGAAAUUUGAAAUGCUCAAAAAUGCAAAAUUGACUGGUCUGAUGGACACAGGAUGGCCGAGCAGUGAUAGUUGUACAUUUCCAUCACUCGUUGUGUUGAUUUCAUCAUGUCC